RNAcentral lists this ribosomal RNA (577 nucleotides) under uncultured organism. RNAcentral describes it as "bacterial SSU rRNA". It matches the Rfam family "Bacterial small subunit ribosomal RNA", at positions 30 to 604 of the family's 1533-position model. The record is from RNAcentral.
UGAACGCUAGCGGGAGGCUUAACACAUGCAAGUCGAGGGGUAAGGUCUCUUCGGAGAAUCACGACCGGCGCACGGGUGAGUAACGCGUAUGCAACCUACCUAUAACACAAGGAUAGCUCCCGGAAACGGGAAUUAAUACUUGAUGACAUUCAAAGAUGGCAUCAUCAAUGAAUCAAAGUUCCGGCGGUUAUAGAUGGGCAUGCGUGACAUUAGCUAGUUGGUGAGGUAGAGGCUCACCAAGGCGACGAUGUCUAGGGGGUCUGAGAGGAUGAUCCCCCACACUGGUACUGAGACACGGACCAGACUCCUACGGGAGGCAGCAGUGAGGAAUAUUGCGCAAUGGAGGAAACUCUGACGCAGCCAUCCCGCGUGCAGGAUUGACGGCCCUAUGGGUUGUAAACUGCUUUUCUAUACCAAGAAACACCGAUACGUGUAUCGGUUUGCCGGUAGUAUAGGAAUAAGCAUCGGCUAACUCCGUGCCAGCAGCCGCGGUACUACGGAGGAUGCAAGCGUUAUCCGGAAUCACUGGGUUUAAAGGGUGCGCAGGCGGAAAUAGUAAGUCAGAGGUGAAAGCCCA